RNAcentral lists this microRNA precursor (80 nucleotides) under Medicago truncatula (barrel medic). Its description in RNAcentral is "MIR5269 microRNA precursor family". It matches the Rfam family "MIR5269 microRNA precursor family". The record is from Rfam by way of RNAcentral. Lineage: Eukaryota; Viridiplantae; Streptophyta; Magnoliopsida; Fabales; Fabaceae.
UGGGGUGAAACCCAUGUGGGUCUCAUACUUUGGAAAUGGAUCCCAAAUAAAGUAGUGAGACCCACAUGGGUUUCACCCAA